Molecule: long non-coding RNA, 287 nt
Filed under: Homo sapiens (human)
Lineage: Eukaryota; Metazoa; Chordata; Mammalia; Primates; Hominidae
Description: HSALNT0168027
Source: RNAcentral
GAAACGCCUUCCUUCAGUAAGCAGAGUGCUUGAGUGCACCCCAUUUGACCUGCUGAUAUGUAGAUCACAACACCUGAUGCUUCCUGGAAUUGCCGAUUACUGUAACUGCUGCCCAUCUGUCGAUGAAGGAGCAGUUUCAGAACUCAGACUUGAGGGAGGAAAAGUAAUUAAUGGAAGUUAUAGAACUAACCAAAGACCUUCUGUCAACUCAACCUUCUGAGACGCUUGCAAGUUCAGACAGUUUUGCUUCUACUCAACCUACUCAUUCAUGGAAAGUAGGAGACAAG